GCCGUGAUAGCUCAUCCCGUGGAGCAUCUGCCCGGUAUGCGGAGGGUCGCCGGUUCAAUUCCGGCUCACGGCG
RNAcentral lists this transfer RNA (73 nucleotides) under Fasciola gigantica. It matches the Rfam family "tRNA". From Rfam's summary of the family: Transfer RNA (tRNA) molecules are approximately 80 nucleotides in length. The record is from Rfam by way of RNAcentral. Lineage: Eukaryota; Metazoa; Platyhelminthes; Trematoda; Plagiorchiida; Fasciolidae.